Molecule: transfer RNA, 64 nt
Filed under: unidentified
Description: Bochrus foveatus tRNA-Asp
Source: RNAcentral
AAAAAGUUAGUUUAUAAAAACAUUAAUUUGUCAAAUUAAAAAUAUUAUUAAUUAAUACUUUUUU